This 945-nucleotide ribosomal RNA is filed under the name uncultured bacterium. Its description in RNAcentral is "bacterial SSU rRNA". It matches the Rfam family "Bacterial small subunit ribosomal RNA", at positions 523 to 1482 of the family's 1533-position model. The record is from RNAcentral.
AUACGGAGGAUGCGAGCGUUAUCCGGAUUUAUUGGGUUUAAAGGGAGCGCAGACGGGUCGUUAAGUCAGCUGUGAAAGUUUGGGGCUCAACCUUAAAAUUGCAGUUGAUACUGGCGUCCUUGAGUGCGGUUGAGGUGUGCGGAAUUCGUGGUGUAGCGGUGAAAUGCUUAGAUAUCACGAAGAACUCCGAUUGCGAAGGCAGCACACUAAGCCGUAACUGACGCUCAUGCUCGAAAGUGUGGGUAUCAAACAGGAUUAGAUACCCUGGUAGUCCACACGGUAAACGAUGGAUACUCGCUGUUGGCGAUAUACGGUCAGCGGCUUAGCGAAAGCGUUAAGUAUCCCACCUGGGGAGUACGCCGGCAACGGUGAAACUCAAAGGAAUUGACGGGGGCCCGCACAAGCGGAGGAACAUGUGGUUUAAUUCGAUGAUACGCGAGGAACCUUACCCGGGCUUAAAUUGCAAAGGAAUAAUCUGGAAACAGGUUAGUCUUCGGACCUUUGUGAAGGUGCUGCAUGGUUGUCGUCAGCUCGUGCCGUGAGGUGUCGGCUUAAGUGCCAUAACGAGCGCAACCCUCGCCGCCAGUUACUAACAGUUAAAGCUGAGGACUCUGGCGGGACUGCCAUCGUAAGAUGUGAGGAAGGUGGGGAUGACGUCAAAUCAGCACGGCCCUUACGUCCGGGGCUACACACGUGUUACAAUGGGCGGUACAGAAGGCAGCUACCUGGCGACAGGAUGCCAAUCCCUAAAGCCGCUCUCAGUUCGGACUGGAGUCUGCAACCCGACUCCACGAAGCUGGAUUCGCUAGUAAUCGCGCAUCAGCCACGGCGCGGUGAAUACGUUCCCGGGCCUUGUACACACCGCCCGUCAAGCCAUGAAAGCCGGGGGUACCUGAAGUGCGUAACCGCAAGGAGCGCCCUAGGGUAAAACUGGUAAUUGGGGCU